This 455-nucleotide ribosomal RNA is filed under the name Enterobacter cloacae. Its description in RNAcentral is "bacterial SSU rRNA". It matches the Rfam family "Bacterial small subunit ribosomal RNA", at positions 108 to 559 of the family's 1533-position model. The record is from RNAcentral. Lineage: Bacteria; Pseudomonadati; Pseudomonadota; Gammaproteobacteria; Enterobacterales; Enterobacteriaceae.
GAGUAAUGUCUGGGAAACUGCCUGAUGGAGGGGGAUAACUACUGGAAACGGUAGCUAAUACCGCAUAACGUCGCAAGACCAAAGAGGGGGACCUUCGGGCCUCUUGCCAUCAGAUGUGCCCAGAUGGGAUUAGCUAGUAGGUGGGGUAACGGCUCACCUAGGCGACGAUCCCUAGCUGGUCUGAGAGGAUGACCAGCCACACUGGAACUGAGACACGGUCCAGACUCCUACGGGAGGCAGCAGUGGGGAAUAUUGCACAAUGGGCGCAAGCCUGAUGCAGCCAUGCCGCGUGUAUGAAGAAGGCCUUCGGGUUGUAAAGUACUUUCAGCGGGGAGGAAGGUGUUGUGGUUAAUAACCGCAGCAAUUGACGUUACCCGCAGAAGAAGCACCGGCUAACUCCGUGCCAGCAGCCGCGGUAAUACGGAGGGUGCAAGCGUUAAUCGGAAUUACUGGGC